AUGCUCGCAAGAGUAGAACUAGCUAACUGAAAUCACAUGAGUCAUGCGUAAUUGUUGGUGAUUGUGAUAACGUAAGGGAAAAAAAUGAUAUUACCUUACUAUUAGUGUUGUCCAAAACUGGUGCCAGAAGACUCGGUAAGGCCAGAGACGCAAACGUUAGUCGUCCUAAUCAGGCGUAAAGGGUAUGUAGGCUGCUUUAAAAGUUUUAUUUAUAAAUAGCUCUGUAACCAUAUAUAAAAAUGUGAAUAAAAUAACAAGGCCCUUCGGGGUAAAUAUAUAUGUAACAGUAUAAUAUAAGAUUAAUUAAAGCUAGAAUCAAAUUGGGGAUAAACCGAAUAAUACUUAGAGUAGGGAUUAUAUCCGUAGAUACUAAGGGGAAUACUAAAGGUGAAAGCUUUUUAUCUACUAAUGAUUGACGCUGAGAAACGAAGGUGAGAAUAGGAAAUAGGAUUAGAUACCCAGAUACCUCUCACUGUCAACGAUGAAUGGUGGUUGUUAGUUUUAAUAAAAACUGGUAACGAUGUUAACACGAUAACCAUUCCGCCUUGCGAGUACGGUUGCAAAACUGAAACCAAAAAAAUUAGUCGGUCUCGAAGCAAACGAAGUG
Molecule: ribosomal RNA, 607 nt
Filed under: Collybia sordida
Lineage: Eukaryota; Fungi; Basidiomycota; Agaricomycetes; Agaricales; Clitocybaceae
Description: Lepista sordida partial small subunit ribosomal RNA
Rfam family: Bacterial small subunit ribosomal RNA
Source: RNAcentral